AUGGGGAACGGUGGGGGAUCUUCUUCCUUGGCGCCUUUGGAUUUGCCUCCUCCCUGGUGCGAGCAUGAUGAGACGGCGCCCUUUGUUGUUACCGAUGAUGUUCUUCCUGUGGUGGAUGUAGUUCUACACGAGAUUGUAAUUCAAGGUGAGGAGGAGCAAGCUAAGGUUACUGAGAUAGUCACAUCGAGCAAUGAUAUGGAGCAUAUUGAGCUGGCCUUGCCUGAUGGUUUGGUUGGCGAGGUGCCUCCCUUUGUCUCCUCUUCGGUGACGUUUGCUUCAGGGGGCACUACCAAUAUGUUGUCUUCUGGGUCCGAGGAGCCACUUGGUGAUAUUGGUGCGCCAUCUACCACCCUGUUGGAUGAGUUCCUAAGCAGUUUCAGUUGCGCGGCGCUGGGGUCCUUGCUCGAAGAACCGAUUCAUGUGCAGAUUGACGGUGCAUCUACUUGUUCCGAGAGGCGUAGUGGACGUUUGGAUAAGAAGAACAGAAACUGCAACAUUCCUACUGCCAAGCGCGCUGAAUAUAGGUUGGCGGAGGCUUAUGGUGAACUGCCGAAGGGGAUGACAUCUAAGAAAGGCUCCGAGGAGGAUGUGCAAGAGAAGAUGAACUCUUAUCUUCGGAUGUACAAGAAACCGCUUACGCCGACGUCGAUCCAGGCAAUUCAUGCAUUGGUGGAGGCCAAUGGUUGA
RNAcentral lists this ribosomal RNA (687 nucleotides) under Triticum aestivum (bread wheat). RNAcentral's name for it is "partial small subunit ribosomal RNA". Lineage: Eukaryota; Viridiplantae; Streptophyta; Magnoliopsida; Poales; Poaceae. The record is from RNAcentral.